This 200-nucleotide ribosomal RNA is filed under the name uncultured bacterium. RNAcentral describes it as "partial 16S ribosomal RNA". It matches the Rfam family "Bacterial small subunit ribosomal RNA", at positions 147 to 334 of the family's 1533-position model. The record is from RNAcentral.
UAGCCCGAAAGGGACGCUAAUACCGCAUGACAUCCUGCCUUUUAAGAGGUGGAGAUUAAAGCCGGGGAUCGCAAGACCUGGCACUUGAAGAGGGGCCCGCGCCUGAUUAGCUAGUUGGUGGGGUAAUGGCUCACCAAGGCAACGAUCAGUAUCCGGCCUGAGAGGGCGGACGGACACACUGGGACUGAGACACGGCCCAG